UGUUGGUUCUAUUCAGUGUGUGUUGUUGGUUCUAUUCAGUGUGUGUUGUCGGUUCUAUUCAGUGUGUUGUUGGUUCUAUUCAGUGUGUGUUGUUGGUUCUAUUCAGUGUGUGUUGUUGGUUCUAUUCACUGUGUGUUCUCGGUUCUAUUCAGUGUGUCUUGUCGGUUCUAUUCAGUGUGUCUUGUUGGUUCUAUUCAGUGUGUGUUGUUGGUUCUAUUCAGUGCGUGUUCUCGGUUCUAUUCAGUGUGUGUUGUUGGUUCUAUUCAGUGUGUGUUGUUGGUUCUAUUCAGUGUGUGUGGUUCUAUUCAGUGUGUGUUGUUGGUUCUAUUCAGUGUGUGUGGUUCUAUUCAGUGUGUGUUGUUGGUUCUAUUCAGUGUGUGUUGUUGGUUCUAUUCAGUGUGUGUGGUUCUAUUCAGUGUGUGUUGUUGGUUCUAUUCAGUGUGUGUGGUUCUAUUCAGUGUCUCUUGUUGGUUCUAUUCAGUGUGUGUUGUUGGUUCUAUUCAGUGUGUGUUGUUGGUUCUAUUCAGUGUGUGUUCUCGGUUCUAUUCAGUGUGUGUUGUUGGUUCUAUUCAGUGUGUGUUGUUGGUUCUAUUCAGUGUGUGUUCUUGGUUCUAUUCAGUGUGUGUUCUCGGUUCUAUUCAGUGUGUGUUUUUGGUUCUAUUCAGUGUGUCUUGUUGGUUCUAUUCAGUGUGUGUUCUCGGUUCUAUUCAGUGUGUGUUGUUGGUUCUAUUCAGUGUGUGUUCUUGGUUCUAUUCAGUUUGUGUUCUCGGUUCUAUUCAGUGUGUGUUGUUGGUUCUAUUCAGUGUGUGUGGUUCUAUUCACUGUGUGUUGUUGGUUCUAUUCAGUGUGUGUGGUUCUAUUCAGUGUGUGUUCUCGGUUCUAUUCAGUGUGUCUUGUUGGUUCUAUUCAGUGUGUGUUCUUGGUUCUAUUCAGUGAGUGUUCUCGGUUCUAUUCAGUGUGUGUUCUCGGUUCUAUUCAGUGUGUGUUCUCGGUUCUAUUCAGUGUGUCUUGUUGGUUCUAUUCAGUGUGUGUUCUCGGUUCUAUUCAGUGUGUGUUUUUGGUUCUAUUCAGUGUGUGUUUUUGGUUCUAUUCAGUGUGUGUUGUUGGUUCUAUUCAGUGUGUGUUCUCGGUUCUAUUCAGUGUGUCUUGUUGGUUCUAUUCAGUGUGUGUUCUCGGUUCUAUUCAGUGUGUGUUCUCGGUUCUAUUCAGUGUGUGUUUUUGGUUCUAUUCAGUGUGUGUUCUUGGUUCUAUUCAGUGUGUGUUCUUGGUUCUAUUCAGUGUGUGUUUUUGGUUCUAUUCAGUGUGUCUUGUUGGUUCUAUUCAGUGUGUGUUCUCGGUUCUAUUCAGUGUGUCUUGUUGGUUCUAUUCAGUGUGUCUUGUUGGUUCUAUUCAGUGUGUGUUCUCGGUUCUAUUCAGUGUGUGUUGUUGGUUCUAUUUAGUGUGUGUGGUUCUAUUCAGUGUCUCUUGUUGGUUCUAUUCAGUGUGUCUUGUUGGUUCUAUUCAGUGUGUGUUCUCGGUUCUAUUCAGUGUGUGUUCUUGGUUCUAUUCAGUGUGUCUUGUUGGUUCUAUUCAGUGUGUGUUCUCGGUUCUAUUCAGUGUGUCUUGUUGGUUCUAUUCAGUGUGUGUUCUCGGUUCUAUUCAGUGUGUGUUCUCGGUUCUAUUCAGUAUGUGUUCUUGGUUCUAUUCAGUGUGUCUUGUUGGUUCUAUUCAGUGUGUCUUGUUGGUUCUAUUCAGUGUGUGUUCUCGGUUCUAUUCAGUGUGUGUUCUUGGUUCUAUUCAGUGUGUCUUGUUGGUUCUAUUCAGUGUGUGUUCUUGGUUCUAUUCAGUGUGUCUUGUUGGUUCUAUUCAGUGUGUCUUGUUGGUUCUAUUCAGUGUGUGUUCUUGGUUCUAUUCAGUGUGUGUUCUUG
This 1907-nucleotide long non-coding RNA is filed under the name Scophthalmus maximus (turbot). Its description in RNAcentral is "lncRNA (ENSSMAG00000032698.1)". Lineage: Eukaryota; Metazoa; Chordata; Actinopteri; Pleuronectiformes; Scophthalmidae. The record is from RNAcentral.